GACGAACGCUGGCGGCGUGCUUAACACAUGCAAGUCGAACGGAAAGGCCCUGCUUUUGUGGGGUGCUCGAGUGGCGAACGGGUGAGUAACACGUGAGUAACCUGCCCUUGACUUUGGGAUAACUUCAGGUAACUGGGGCUAAUACCGGAUAGGAGCUCCUGCUGCAUGGUGGGGGUUGGAAAGUUUCGGCGGUUGGGGAUGGACUCGCGGCUUAUCAGCUUGGUGGUGGGGUCGUGGCUUACCAAGGCUUUGACGGGUAGCCGGCCUGAGAGGGUGACCGGCCACAUUGGGACUGAGAUACGGCCCAGACUCCUACGGGAGGCAGCAGUGGGGAAUAUUGCACAAUGGGCGGAAGCCUGAUGCAGCAACGCCGCGUGCGGGAUGACGGCCUUCGGGUUGUAAACCGCUUUCGCCUGUGACGAAGCGUGAGUGACGGUAAUGGGUAAAGAAGCACCGGCUAACUACGUG
RNAcentral lists this ribosomal RNA (468 nucleotides) under uncultured bacterium. RNAcentral describes it as "partial 16S ribosomal RNA". It matches the Rfam family "Bacterial small subunit ribosomal RNA", at positions 28 to 507 of the family's 1533-position model. The record is from RNAcentral.